This 432-nucleotide ribosomal RNA is filed under the name uncultured bacterium. RNAcentral describes it as "partial 16S ribosomal RNA". It matches the Rfam family "Bacterial small subunit ribosomal RNA", at positions 29 to 506 of the family's 1533-position model. The record is from RNAcentral.
AACGAACGCUGGCGGCAUGCCUAACACAUGCAAGUCGAACGAGACCUUCGGGUCUAGUGGCGCACGGGUGCGUAACGCGUGGGAACCUGCCCUUAGGUUCGGAAUAACUCCCCGAAAGGGGUGCUAAUACCGGAUAAUGUCUUCGGACCAAAGAUUUAUCGCCUUUGGAUGGGCCCGCGUUGGAUUAGCUAGUUGGUAGGGUAAAAGCCUACCAAGGCGACGAUCCAUAGCUGGUCUGAGAGGAUGAUCAGCCACACUGGGACUGAGACACGGCCCAGACUCCAGGGGGGGGAGGGGGGGGGGAUAUUUGGACAGGGGGCGAAAGCCUGCACCGACAAUGCCGGGGGGGGGAUGAGGGCCUUGGGGUUUUAAAGCUCUUUUACCCGGGAUGAAAAUGCCGGAACCGGGAAAAAAACCCCGGCCAAACCCCGG